RNAcentral lists this ribosomal RNA (562 nucleotides) under Aspergillus sclerotiorum. Its description in RNAcentral is "eukaryotic LSU rRNA". The stretch from base 199 to 352 matches the Rfam family "5.8S ribosomal RNA". The record is from RNAcentral. Lineage: Eukaryota; Fungi; Ascomycota; Eurotiomycetes; Eurotiales; Aspergillaceae.
GGCAACAUUGAGUGAGGUACUCGGGGCCAACCUCCCACCCGUGUAUACCGUACCUUGUUGCUUCGGCGGGCCCGCCGCGCAAGCGGCCGCCGGGGGGGCGUCAAACCCCCCUCCCUAGGCGAGCGCCCGCCGGAGACACCAACGUGAACACUGUCUGAAGUUUUGUUGUCUGAGUUCGAUUGUAUCGCAAUCAGUUAAAACUUUCAACAAUGGAUCUCUUGGUUCCGGCAUCGAUGAAGAACGCAGCGAAAUGCGAUAAUUAAUGUGAAUUGCAGAAUUCAGUGAAUCAUCGAGUCUUUGAACGCACAUUGCACCCCCUGGUAUUCCGGGGGGUAUGCCUGUCCGAGCGUCAUUGCUGCCCUCAAGCACGGCUUGUGUGUUGGGUCGUCGUCCCCCCGGGGACGGGCCCGAAAGGCAGCGGCGGCACCGCGUCCGGUCCUCGAGCGUAUGGGGCUUUGUCACCCGCUCUUGUAGGCCCGGCCGGCGCUGGCCGACGCUGAAAAGCAACCAACUAUUUCUCCAGGUUGACCUCGGAUCAGGUAGGGAUACCCGCUGAACUUAA